UCCAUCCAUCCAUCCAACCAUCCAUCCAUCCAUCCAUCCAUCUGUCCGUCUGUCCGUCCAUUCAACCAUCCAUCCAUCCAUCCAUCCAUCCAUCCAUCCAUCCAUCCAUCCAUUCAUCUAGUUGUUCAACAAAUACUGUGAGCGCAGACUGUGCAGGUCCUGUGCUGGGUCCAGGAGGACAUGGUGGUGACCAAGACAGACACAAUCCUACAGCAUGAGGCCAUCGUGUAUUGAGGGAGAGAAGUAUUGAACAGAUAAUGCCAUGGGGAACUGAAUCACCGCGGGAAGCACUGUGAAGAGAGAAAAAGGCCAGAGAACAGAAGCCAAACUCUUGGAGAAGAGAUGACUGUUGUCAACUUUCAUGGAAGGACACUGGAGAUAGAGGCCUGGGUCUGUCCUGCUGUGGCCUGGGUCAGGUGCGUGGUGGGCGUUUCGAGAAGGUGGAGCCGAGUCCUGACUCUGCGAGCUUCCUUGGAGGGGCUGCCCGGGGGCUGAGCUCUGGGUGACUUCGAAGCCGGCCUGGGAGCGAUGGGCUGCUGCCAACAGGCCAGAUGGCCCUUCCUGUGUCAGCCGCUCUGCCCUCCUCCCAAACUCUGUGAUUCUGUCACUUGCCGACUGCAGCCUUGUUGGAACUGCCAGGGGGUUCUGGGCUGGUGUGUCUUUAUUGUCCAGCGUUGCCCUAAAUGUGUUAUUCUGUUGCACAAAACCCUUUCUUCAUGGGCUGUUUCUCUUCAUGGUCUGAUGGUGCUAUCCGCACCCUUGGCAAAAUGAGGAGCACAGCUGUCUUUGCUGCCUGCUCACCUCCUGUCUGGCCCUGCCACCUGCCCAGUGUCCUCGCAGUGGCCCGGCCUCGCCCCAGCUGCUGGCAUCUUGUUAGCACCAAGCACGAGCACCCCCAAUCCCGACAGCUCACCGCAGCUCCGUGAGGUCGUGGAUCAAGACAAAACCCACGGCGACGCUGAAAGCUGAGCCUGUAGAAGGCGACGCCAGACCGAGAACAGGACCGUUCACGGGAUUCCCAGCUCUCCUUGCUUACUGCAGACACCGUGCCAACGGUCAUGCCUCCCCUUCUACUGAGCUCACUGGGAAGGUGGACAGAUGUGCUUCUGGAAUCUCCAGUGGGGGAAGGCGCCCAUCUCAGUCCCUCAUUCCUGGUUGGUCUGCGCUGUGAUUCACUGGGGUUCCAUAACCCCCCGCCCGGGGCCUCUGGCACUCUCAGUGGCUGUUGGGGAAGGAGGUGUUUCCCCAGCAGGCUCUGGCCCUGGCUCCAGCUGUCUGACGAGCAGGACACUUUCCAGAACGUGCUUCCCAUUUCUGCAAUUUGCUGUUUCUGGCCUGGUUCGUAAGCAGACAGUGACAUGGGGUACUGUGGUGGGGAGGGGUAAGAAGACUGCCUCAAAGAUAGCUCAUCAGAGAUGGAGAGGAAUGGCUGACCCUCUUUCUAGUGGGUCCAAUCCUGGGCCACUGAGACAGGACAGAUGAGAGAAGAGGAGAGAAGAGUCUUCUCACCUUUUCCCAGUGGGCUUCUGCUUGAUGAAGGGCAUCCUGGGUGGGGCAGGUGAUACUGCUGGGAACUCUCCCUUUGUCUAAAUUCCAAGCCAUACUUAGUGAGAAGGUUUAAAGGCCAAUUGGUGAGCCAUUCACUAUUUUGCCCUAGACAUCUCAUGUCUGAUGUUUAAUGCACUCUUACUGUUUAAUCCCUGCCCUGCCCUGGUCAUCUUCCAACAACAGCUCCAGAGUUUUCACUUGCGCACCAGACAUCCCUUAGUCCAGGUGGCCUGGGCAGGUCUCUGGAAGUGGAGCUCAUGACCUUGACCUUAGCCAAUCAGCACUUCGCAUUCCCUGGCCACUGUGAUUGGUUAAUGGGUGGGCAUGUGACUGGACGUUGGUACAAUCAGAAUGAGGUUCAGGACUUCUGUGGAAACUCCUAGAAAGGAAGCUCAGUCUUCCCCUCUAGACUUGAGUCUGAAGGCUUGUGACGCCUCAAUGACAUCCUGGAACCUGAGCUUGACGCUGAGUCCCGGAGAGAGGCUCUGUCCUCGGGACAGCAAGGAGCUCCUGAUCCAGCUUUGCCUGAAGCUGGCCCGACUUUCAGAUCUCCUAGCAAUGAGAACCAGUACAUUCUCUUUUAUUUUUAAGCCCCAUUGGAGUCAGAUUGCCAGUCACCAGAAGGAGAAUGAGUCCUCAUUUAUACAGGUGUGAUCAUAGGGUUAGGAAAAAAAGAAGGACCAAAUAUCCAGAGGAUAUAUCCCCAAAUGUUUACAGUAUUAUCUUUGGGUGGCGGGACUGUGGGUUAUUUUUAUUAAUCUCUUUGUAUGUCUCAUUUUCUGACUUGGUGGGGUAACAAGCAUGUUUUGUAAACAAGAGCAAACAAAGAAGAAAAGCCUCCAGUCAAUACUACAUUAAACAUUUGCUUCUUCGGUUUGGAAAGGCCAAGAGGCUAAAGGGGCCAAUCGCUCCUGUUCUUGCUGAAUUCGUGGCGCCACCGUCAGGCUCUCCUGGAGGGGCGGGGGUGGCAGUUGGAGGCAGGCCUCCCACCCGGGGCCCUGUAAUAACCACCCGAGGCGCUCCCUGAACCCUGAAGGAGGAAAUCCUUCUUGAUGCAACAAGGAGCGAACUUAUGGCCGCUGUUCUCACCAGAGAGGGGACGAGGUGGAAAAUAGAAAUGGUUUCAAGAGGUUUUGAAAUGUUCCCCAGUGACAGUUGAGUUACAGAGUUGGAGAAGGGUGUGGUAGGUGUGGGGCUGUCUGGGGCCUCAGGGAGGGUGUCAGGGACCCCCCCAACUCUGCCGAGGGGCCAAGCCAGGGCCACCUGGGAGGUGGGGUGGUGGGUGGCCCACGCCGAGUUGGGCAGGGCCCUGGUGGGCGGUGCCUGGGCUCACACUGCUGGUGUGUGUCCCCCCCCACGACAGGGACUCAGGGAGGCGGCAGGCGGCCCACAGCCCACAUGCCGGCUCAGCACCCAGGGCUGGGAAAGCGCACGCGUUUUAGCACUUGCUGUAUCUUGAGGGGCGCAGAGGACACCUGAGCUGCGUGGACUGUGGAAACCCCAAAUCCUGAGUCACUGCCGACUGCUGCUGCAGGCAAAGAACUCCAGCUGAAGGCAUCAAAUGUUGCCUCUACCUGUACAUGCAGGAAGCUAAGUGGUGGUAAAAUAACUAACUAACUAACUAACUAAAUAAAUAAAUAAAUAAAAAGAAAAAUAAAAAGGAAAGAAAAUGCAAUCAGCCUGGGCCAGGGAAUUCCUAUGUGUACUGGUUUGUGUGUAUGUGAGAGGAAAGAGAGAAUGGGAGAAAAAAUUUCAGAAAUCAUACAAGAUGUUGUCUUUUCUCUUGUGACAUUUGGGAUCUAUUUUUCUGCAGCACUGUUUUUCGAAGUGUGUUCCAUUGUAGUUCUAGUUCUUGAA
Molecule: long non-coding RNA, 3405 nt
Organism: Ailuropoda melanoleuca (giant panda)
Lineage: Eukaryota; Metazoa; Chordata; Mammalia; Carnivora; Ursidae
Exons: 4
Source: RefSeq, a predicted model, not a curated record